GACGAACGCUGGCGGCGUGCUUAACACAUGCAGGUCGAACGGAAAGGCCCUGCUUUUGUGGGGUGCUCGAGUGGCGAACGGGUGAGUAACACGUGAGUAACCUGCCCUUGACUUUGGGAUAACUUCAGGAAACUGGGGCUAAUACCGGAUAGGAGCUCCUGCUGCAUGGUGGGGGUUGGAAAGUUUCGGCGGUUGGGGAUGGACUCGCGGCUUAUCAGCUUGUUGGUGGGGUAGUGGCUUACCAAGGCUUUGACGGGUAGCCGGCCUGAGAGGGUGACCGGCCACAUUGGGACUGAGAUACGGCCCAGACUCCUACGGGAGGCAGCAGUGGGGAAUAUUGCACAAUGGGCGGAAGCCUGAUGCAGCAACGCCGCGUGCGGGAUGACGGCCUUCGGGUUGUAAACCGCUUUCGACUGUGACGAAGCGUGAGUGACGGUAAUGGGUAAAGAAGCACCGGCUAACUACGUG
This 468-nucleotide ribosomal RNA is filed under the name uncultured bacterium. Its description in RNAcentral is "partial 16S ribosomal RNA". It matches the Rfam family "Bacterial small subunit ribosomal RNA", at positions 28 to 507 of the family's 1533-position model. The record is from RNAcentral.